Small nucleolar RNA from Eptesicus fuscus (big brown bat), 66 nucleotides. RefSeq annotates it as small nucleolar RNA U54. The record is from RefSeq and is a predicted model, not a curated record. Lineage: Eukaryota; Metazoa; Chordata; Mammalia; Chiroptera; Vespertilionidae. The transcript has a single exon.
UGGCGAUGAGGAGAUAAUUGCCUGUUGAAUGACGGUGAUAGUCGGAUACGCUAUUCUGAGCCAGCA